This is a long non-coding RNA of Suricata suricatta (meerkat), 426 nucleotides long. RefSeq lists it as uncharacterized. NCBI's taxonomy places the organism in Eukaryota, Metazoa, Chordata, Mammalia, Carnivora, Herpestidae. The transcript is spliced from 3 exons. The record is from RefSeq and is a predicted model, not a curated record.
CGGCGCUGGUAGAGCCUUGCUUCUGUGACGGUUGGGAACCUCUCUCUGACCUCGUUUAGGAUUUGGGUGCUGAAAACGCAAGCCCAGCGAGGCACCAUCUUUGAAAAUAUGGGACGCCCACAUAAAAGUGUCCUGGAACACAUGCAUCCACAGAAAGGCAGACCUUGAAUCACAUGUGUUUUUGUACCCCUCUGAGGGCCCAGCAUCCGGAGACCAUGUUGUUAGAGAUAAAAAAAUGUGUCUUGUUCACAAGAGCAACUUUAGCACUCAGGUCUGUACUGAAAACUUACUACAUGCUCAAAAAACCAUGCUAAAUGAAUGGAUGGCCAGAAGAAAAAGCUAAGUUAUUUCUACCACCACCUUCCUUCUCAUUUCUAAAGUGAUUUAGUUCUAUUUUGAAAAAGAAUUAAAUUUUUGAACUCAGUG